This 76-nucleotide transfer RNA is filed under the name Marmota monax (woodchuck). Its description in RNAcentral is "tRNA.Ala". The record is from RNAcentral. Lineage: Eukaryota; Metazoa; Chordata; Mammalia; Rodentia; Sciuridae.
GGGAUAUAGCUCAAUUGGUAGAGUGCUUGCCUUGCAUGCACAAGGCCAAGGCCCUGAGUUCAAUCCCCAGCACACA